RNAcentral lists this long non-coding RNA (2290 nucleotides) under Homo sapiens (human). Its description in RNAcentral is "HSALNT0025886". The record is from RNAcentral. Lineage: Eukaryota; Metazoa; Chordata; Mammalia; Primates; Hominidae.
AAUUUCAGUAAAUACUGUUUAUUUUUUAAAUUUUGCCAUAAUCUAUACAAUAAAUAUUAACCAAUGAUGGAUCUUUUCUUUACAGAAGGUUACCAAACCAGUUUGCAUUUGUUGACUUCGUUAGUGGAGGCUCCUCCAUAACGAGCUCGUUAAUUUUAGGCCACCUUGCGUGGCUUUGGUUGACACUCAGUGUGUGACAGCUAAUGUGAUGCUCCCUGAAAAGUAUAUCGCAGAGUCUCGCAGAAUUACGAGGAAGGCAACGGAGCUCCGCAGCCCUGCGUUUAACCUUUAUUUAUUUAUCCAUCAUAAAAUGUGGGGCUUCUCCAGUUCCAGACAAUAUCUGAAAACUAGAGUAACAAAGAUUAAGGGGACACACACAGCCUCUAUGCAGACACGCUGACAUACGGAGCUCAGCCCUCUAUGCAGACACACUGAAAUAUGAAGACACCCACAGGCCUCUAUGCAGACACGCUGACAUACGGAGCUCGGCCCUCUAUGCAGACACACUGAAAUAUGAAGACACCCACAGGCCUCUAUGCAGACACGCUGAAAUAUAGAAACACACACAGCUCUCCAUGCGGACAUGCUGAAAUACAGAGCACAGCCCUCUAUGCAGACACACUGAAAUAUAGUCAUUGGCAACUAAAAUACAGUGUGAACACAUCCAACAAAAUGGGCGCACAGGGAGUUAUGACAGGAACUUAUGACAGCAAACGGCACAUGGACCCACAGGUCUGAUGAUCUCUGGCCAUCCCAAAGGUUGGGCCACUCCCUACCAUAUGCACCUCUGCUGAAGCAAGUUGAGAACUGACUCGCCGGGAGGGAGUCGCUGGCCAACGUGAGGCCAGCCUUGUGCACAGAGCGCGCAUGGAAAUGGUGCGGGUUCGCCGUCUCGGGAGUUGGAUACGACUGCCAUCUUUUUAUAAAUGAGAAUUGCAGGAUCAUCGACCAUUGUGUACUCACACAUUUAAAGAUGUGUAAGUCUUAAAUAACCCUUUGGGAAUAUUAAGGAGCUGUCACAGGGGUUCUCAAUUUUGGAUGUGCAUAAAAACACUUCUGUAGUGAUUUUAAAUGAAAGUGCCUGGUCUCAACUAACACCUGCUGAACCAGAAUUGCCACGGUUUGGGUUUGAGAAUCUGUUUUUUUGUUUUUGCUUUUAUAAGUUUCAGAAGCAAAAGUGAGGGUCGCUGGUUUGCAGGUGAUUGAAGGGUUUGGCCACCUGUGGGCCAUGAUGUCAUUGUUGUUGGUGGUGGUAAUGGUGAGGUUGGGGCUGUGAUGUCGUUGUCAUUGGUGGUAGUGAUGGUGAGGUCGGGGCUGUGAUGUCAUUGUCAUUGGUGGUGGUGAUGGUGAGGUCAGGGGUCGGGGCUGUGAUGUCGUUGUCGGUGGUGGUGGUGAUGGUGAGGUCACUGUAGGAAAGCCCAGCAGAAUGGCCCUGAAGCGUGGGCUCCGUCCCCGAUAUGCCUUCCCAUGAUCUCUUUUCCUAAGGAAAAAUCCGAAUAAAUGAAGGGUGAAGGCAGCCUUGAAAAUGAAGCAAAUUAUAAAGGUAAACUAUAGGCGAAAACUUCAGGGGAGUCUAAACGUUUUAUCUCGAUGAUUAAUGGGUGCCUUGGGUAGCAUUCUCUACAUGUCUUAGGGCAUCAGGAAACAGAACUGCCCUAUUUUUUCUCAGAGAUUUAUUCAUUCAAUGAACAUAUAUUAAGUACCAAGUAUUUCCAGGUCUUAUUCCAGUGAUUGGAAUUCAAUAAUACACUUACUGACAAAUUCCCCUGUGUCUGUAGAACUUACAAUCUGAUGGGUAAUAAAACAGGUCAGUAACAAUAAAAAUUGCAAUAAAUAAGUGGAGUAGGAAUUAAAUGAUAAAAGGUACUAUGUAUGUAAGAAUAAGGGAUCCUGGACACAGUUGUGAGCAAGGCUGCGAGGCUAAGUGUGCAGUCAGGGUGGGCAUCCCUGUGGAGGUGACGUCUGAGCCUCCAUUACACUCAGAUGUGGACAUGAGCUGCCUCGGAAAGGAACAUUCCAGAGAAAGGCACAGCUAGGGUAAGGCUCUGACCUGUGUCCUGCAUGCUCAGUGAAGCUGUUUGGUUCAAGUGGAAUGAAAAUAAGGAGAAUAAAAUUUUUUUUAAGUAUCAGAAUUUGCUCAGAUGCCAUCUCUACAGGUCAUGACCCAGCUCUGGGAGAGCCUUGGCAAUCUGCUUUAACUAGGGAAAUGCUGCAGGGUUUGAGUAGAGAAGGGGUCUGGCCUGACACAGCAGAUAUCUGGCCAGUGUUGAGAAGGGAGUCUGCACAUUCG